AACGAACAAAUUUGGAGACUUCUGGACACGAUCCAAGGCCCUUGACGAAAUCAGCCUGUUUGCUGUCUUCUUCGUCAGCCUUUCGUUCCAGAUGAAGAACACCUCUAAAAUUAUCUCUAAAAAUUCCAAGAUCUGAUACUCAACUAGAUCAGACCUGGACUGAGGUCUUUCAAUUCAUAGAUCUCAAAUCAGGACAUUCUAGAUAGGGAAGAAGGUAGAUGGAAAU
This 226-nucleotide long non-coding RNA is filed under the name Elaeis guineensis (African oil palm). Its description in RNAcentral is "long non-coding RNA (EGUI_LNC072633)". Lineage: Eukaryota; Viridiplantae; Streptophyta; Magnoliopsida; Arecales; Arecaceae. The record is from RNAcentral.